GCGCUCGCUCCGGCAGCACAUAUUCUCAGAUUGGAAUGAUACAGAGAAAAUUAGCAUGGCCCCUGCGCAAGGAUGGCAUGCAAACUCGUGCAGCGUUAUGUGUUUUU
Molecule: small nuclear RNA, 107 nt
Organism: Camelus dromedarius (Arabian camel)
Lineage: Eukaryota; Metazoa; Chordata; Mammalia; Artiodactyla; Camelidae
Source: Ensembl